UUAAAUUAUCAAGAAUCUCAAAUAGAGAUAGCAACCUGCAAUAACGAGCAAGGUGCUAAAAGCGAUAAGCCAAUACCUUGGAAAAAACGUUAAAUCC
RNAcentral lists this non-coding RNA (97 nucleotides) under Maribacter dokdonensis. RNAcentral describes it as "SAM-I-IV sequence". It matches the Rfam family "SAM-I/IV (S-adenosyl methionine) riboswitch aptamer". From Rfam's summary of the family: It is found upstream of a number of genes which code for proteins involved in methionine or cysteine biosynthesis. It has been found mostly in the order Actinomycetales. The record is from RNAcentral. Lineage: Bacteria; Pseudomonadati; Bacteroidota; Flavobacteriia; Flavobacteriales; Flavobacteriaceae.